RNAcentral lists this ribosomal RNA (499 nucleotides) under uncultured bacterium. Its description in RNAcentral is "partial 16S ribosomal RNA". It matches the Rfam family "Bacterial small subunit ribosomal RNA", at positions 28 to 507 of the family's 1533-position model. The record is from RNAcentral.
GACGAACGCUGGCGGCGUGCUUAACACAUGCAAGUCGAACGGGCCCGCCCCUGUUUUUGGGGGUGGGUUGAGUGGCGAACGGGUGAGUAUCACGUGAGUAACCUGCCCCCUGCUCCUGGAUAACUGCUUGAAAGGGCGGCUAAUACGGGGUGUGCCGGCUGGUCCGCAUGGGCCUGGUCGGGAUAGUUUCAUCUUCGGGUGUUUCGGUGGGGGAUGGGCUCGCGGCCUAUCAGCUUGUUGGUAGGGUGAUGGCCCACCAAGGCGGUGACGGGUAGCCGGCGUGGGAGGGUGGGCGGCCACACUGGGACUGAGACACGGCCCAGACUCCUGCGGGAGGCAGCAGUGGGGGGUAUUGCACAAUGGGCGGAAGCCUGAUGCAGCGACGGCGCGUGAGGGAUGGAGGCCUUCGGGUUGUGAACCUCUUUCUCCGGUGGUGAAGGCCCUGUCCGUUGCGGCGGGGUUGACGGUAGCCGGGUAUGAAGCGCCGGCUAACUACGUG